RNAcentral lists this ribosomal RNA (468 nucleotides) under uncultured bacterium. RNAcentral describes it as "partial 16S ribosomal RNA". It matches the Rfam family "Bacterial small subunit ribosomal RNA", at positions 28 to 507 of the family's 1533-position model. The record is from RNAcentral.
GACGAACGCUGGCGGCGUGCUUAACACAUGCAAGUCGAACGGAAAGGCCCUGCUUUUGUGGGGUGCUCGAGUGGCGAACGGGUGAGUAACACGUGAGUAACCUGCCCUUGACUUUGGGAUAACUUCAGGAAACUGGGGCUAAUACCGGAUAGGAGCUCCUGCUGCAUGGUGGGGGUUGGAAAGUUUCGGCGGUUGGGGAUGGACUCGCGGCUUAUCAGCUUGUUGGUGGGGUAGUGGCUUACCAAGGCUUUGACGGGUAGCCGGCCUGAGAGGGUGACCGGCCACAUUGGGACUGAGAUACGGCCCAGACUCCUACGGGAGGCAGCAGUGGGGAAUAUUGCACAAUGGGCGGAAGCCUGAUGCAGCAACGCGGCGUGCGGGAUGACGGCCUUCGGGUUGUAAACCGCUUUCGCCUGUGACGAGGCGUGAGUGACGGUAAUGGGUAAAGAAGCACCGGCUAACUACGUG